GUGGGGAAUAUUGGACAAUGGGCGCAAGCCUGAUCCAGCAAUGCCGCGUGGGUGAAGAAGGCCUUCGGGUUGUAAAGCCCUUUUGUACGGAAAGAAAUCCUGGUGGUUAAUACCCGCCGGGGAUGACGGUACCGUAAGAAUAAGCACCGGCUAACUUCGUGCCAGCAGCCGCGGUAAUACGAAGGGUGCAAGCGUUAAUCGGAAUUACUGGGCGUAAAGCGUGCGUAGGUGGUUUCUUAAGUCUGUCGUGAAAGCCCUGGGCUCAACCUGGGAAUGGCGAUGGAUACUGGGAGGCUAGAGUGCGGUAGAGGAUGGCGGAAUUCCCGGUGUAGCGGUGAAAUGCGUAGAGAUCGGGAGGAACAUCUGUGGCGAAGGCGGCCAUCUGGACCAGCACUGACACUGAGGCACGAAAGCGUGGGGAGCAAACAGGAUUAGAUACCCGGGUAGUCC
This 450-nucleotide ribosomal RNA is filed under the name uncultured bacterium. RNAcentral describes it as "partial 16S ribosomal RNA". It matches the Rfam family "Bacterial small subunit ribosomal RNA", at positions 354 to 796 of the family's 1533-position model. The record is from RNAcentral.